AUUGAACGCUGGCGGCAUGCUUUACACAUGCAAGUCGAAUGGUAACAGGCCUUCGGGUGCUGACGAGUGGCGAACGGGUGAGUAAUGCAUCGGAACGUGCCCAGAGGUGGGGGAUAACGCAGCGAAAGCUGUGCUAAUACCGCAUGUGAUCUGAGGAUGAAAGCGGGGGACCAGGCAGCAAUGUUUGGCCUCGCGCCUUUGGAGCGGCCGAUGUCAGAUUAGGUAGUUGGUGGGGUAAAGGCCUACCAAGCCGACGAUCUGUAGCUGGUCUGAGAGGACGACCAGCCACACUGUGACUGAGACACGGCCCAGACUCCUACGGGAGGCAGCAGUGGGGAAUUUUGGACAAUGGGCGAAAGCCUGAUCCAGCAAUGCCGCGUGCGGGAAGAAGGCCUUCGGGUUGUAAACCGCUUUUGUACGGAACGAAAAGGAUCUGGCUAAUACCUGGGGCUGAUGACGGUACCGGAAGAAUAAGCACCGGCUAACUACGUG
RNAcentral lists this ribosomal RNA (492 nucleotides) under uncultured bacterium. RNAcentral's name for it is "partial 16S ribosomal RNA". It matches the Rfam family "Bacterial small subunit ribosomal RNA", at positions 30 to 507 of the family's 1533-position model. The record is from RNAcentral.